CACCUCGCGCCCGCGCCGCGCCGGGAGGCAGCCGCGGGGGCCGCCGCCGAGGAGGGGAAGGGGGCGGCGGGGAGUUCCACCGUGAAACAACCUCUCCCUUCCUCCGCCACGGACGGAGCGGGCUGGCCGCGGCAGAGGCGCUCGGCCGCUCUGGGGAGGCGCGGUGAGGCGAGGCGGAGGGCCGGUGGUGCCUCGCGCAGCGGCCGUUGGCUGCCGCGCGCCGCCGAGGCUGAGGAGACGCGUGUGGCGGGCGCGACGGAACGGGGCGGCCGGGCGGGCUGGCGGGGCUGCCGCUCACAGGGCCGGCCGUGCCGCUGGCUGACGGCUUCGUGCGCCCGGCCGGCGGCGGGAACGAGGAGCCGUGCCCAGAAUCCCCCGCCUGCUGCCGCUGGCACGUGGCUGUCGUGGGAUCGUGCCCAGGAGGUGUCGGCCUUCGCAGGACACUUCCGUAGUUAGUUUGGUGGGGAUUUUUUGCUUGUUUUUGUUUAGUUUCAGGGACUAUUUUUUUUUACCUUUUUUAAUAUAAUUUGUUUUUAACAUAGCCUACGGUUGGGGCAGGCCGGGUUUGAUGUUGGUGAACGUCUUGCUGCGGAAGGCAUCUCACAGCAGAGGGGUGAAGUGCCAGGAGACCCAGUGUGUGGAUCUGAGAGGGUUGAGGAGUCCAUUUGUCGGCAGGGGAAAGCUGGAGUGAAAAUGGGAAAGCUACAACGGGGUGUUUAUUGAGGAAUGCUUUGUUAUGCAGGGGCAAAGUGGAUAGAGAGGACUGUGCCAUCAAACCGUUAGUCACCCUUCAGUCUACUACAUGCAACUGUAUACUUUGCCCUGAGACCCAGGUGGGCUUAUAAGGGACAGGAUGGGGCUGUGUGGGCAGCAGCUGACGAGGAAGGUGAGGAAGAGGGCUUCUCCCCCCAUUGCAUCAGUUAAAGAAGAUGGAGUGGAAAGGUAGCGAAGAGACUUCCAUCUACUCUUAGCUGUUCUCAGUACCCGUUCCUCCACCAGAGACAGGUCAGAACCCAGCUAAUUCUUCCUGCUGUCCCAGCUGUCCUCCUGCAGACAUCUUCCUAUACUGCUGGUGAUCUCUACUGUACAAAUAGUGCUGUAUAUGUGAAUGCACCGUUAUAUAGGGUAGACAAUUUUAUUACUUAGUGAUCUUUGCAAGAAAAUUAGCUGAAUGAUGCCAAAACCAUGAAAUGGAUACUGUCUUAGGUGAGCGCGUUUUCCAUUUUCUACCUUUGGUUUCACGUGACAGGGGAAUGCAGUAGAAGGGAUAUUCAUAGAAAUAUAUGUUUGUAUAACCAAAUAUAUGCAUAUAUACGUACAUACACAUAUAUAUUAAAAAAAUGUAGUAUUGUGAUCUGGGGCCUGAUCUUUCACCUACUCCUGCAGCUGGAAUCUUGACUUUCUGAAGUCUUUGGAAUUAUGGGAUUGCAAUCAGGCACAAAUAUCUGUUUCUGGGUCUCAGGCCUUAUCUGUAUUCAUAGUAACUAACCAAAUGAAGCCAAUUCAGUAUAAAUCAGUUUUAAGUCAACUUAAACAUAGCUGACUAACUAAACAUAGAGAAGAUUUCUAUCAUUUAACUGAACAUAAUUAGAAAAAUAUUUUAGCUAGAUUAAUGGUGCUUUGAUUGAGCACAAGAUAAUAGCCUUUCCCUUCUUCCAUUCACCAAUCACAUGAAAGAAACAUUAUUGUACAAUCUGUAAAUCCAAUCAGAAUUUGCUAAUGUGGCCUGAAUUUUGAACAAAAAUACUGGUAUUGAACUGGUAGGACAUUAUGCAUAACAAUGCUUGUAUGUAAUAUUUUGUAUAAUACAUUUUGAGGAAGCCAUAAAGCUUCAUAAAAUACAGAAGAGAAACAGAAUAAUUUAUUCAUUACAAAUGAUGCAGUAAUUUUGAAUACAGACUUACUAUGUAAUCUUCAAACAAGUUGAGCCUCUCAAGCACAUUACUGUGAGGUACUCUGAGUUGUUUGGGAGAUAUAAUAGUAGAAUGCUGUAACAGUUUAAGUUAGCGAAGCCCCCUGUUAACUGCAGAAAUUAUAAGGUUUCUUUCCCAAAUAUUUGUUAUGCUGAAAGAAACUUUGAGACCUGAAAAGGUUACCUGUUUGAGCACCAUCAAUAGGAUUAACGCCAAUUCAGGUAUCCUCUUUCCUUUCUUGAAUUUUUCAAUUAUGAGACACAUUUGGAUGUUGGGGUUUUUUUCCUUUUUUUUUUUUUUUUUUUCCCUAUAUGAAAUGUAUAGGAAGAAGGAGAGAAAGAUCAGUGAUGAGCACUUUUCAAAAUGCCACCUUUGCCAAGGUAGAAAUGCUGGUGAUGUGUGAUUUUACAAGAAAGAAAACUGCAUUUGAUGCCAUCUGCAGUCCUGGAGCAAACCCAAACCGUAACUCAAACUGAAAUGGAGUUUGUUGUUCUAGUACUGGGUCAAAUACAAAACUGCUUUUAGCAGCUUGCUCUCAGGAGAGAUUCUCAUAACAUGAGGCAGUCGGGAGACUAAGUUACUGUUCACCAUCUUAGGAGAUGUUCCAAGGUCAAAGUUAGGGAUAUAAGUGGAAAAUGCAGUAAUGCACUCUUGAUUUGAGGUUGUGGAGGAUGACAACUAUUAUUUAGCUGUGACUUGCUUAGAUGGAAAAAUAUACUCUGAAAAUUAUUUAAGUAGGUAGCUAGGCAUAAGGCUCAUCAUUUUCUGGAUGAACCUUCCGCUUCAGACUGCAGGCUGGAAUCAAAUUGAAAGUGUUGGAGUCCACCUCUAGCUGAGCAGGUCAGACAAGUCCUACCUAAUCCAGCCUGAUGCUCAUUCUUCAUGAUCUACAAGAUUAUUAUAAACUAAUCUGUUAGUCAUUGAAAAAUCAGUUAAUGUUAUUUCUGGUCAGACCAGUUUCUCUUCCUGUAGAAUAAAGGCUGUGUAGAGCAAAAAUGAAAUAGUAAUGCAAUAAAUACAUUAUUGGAAAUCUAGGACUUCUCUUUAGAGUGUACAGGAAAAGUUUAAAAUAGUAUAGUAAACUACUGCUUUUCAUACUGUGCUUACUUCUUUGUUUGAGCAGCAGCUGAUAUUUUUUGUGAUGUUGUAAGGAUUCAGUGUAGCAUUCAACUGUUUAAAGCUUUAACUCAUGCUUACACUAUUUACUGCAUAGCAGCUAGUGUCAAUGUUGUUUGAACUUGCCAGCACUGGGUGAAGGAAAUAGAAUGUGCAAAUAAGACUUAACUAGGUUUACUAAUUGCACUAAGUACCUAAAAUAUCUUUCAGAAAACUAUUAAAAGACAUCUAUGUGAUAAAAGAUGUUAGAGAGAUAUUUAUGUCAGAUGUUAGAGAGAUAUUUAUGUCAAAACAGCAUUGUAAAACAGUUCAAUGAGAGAGCAGACGUUUGAAAACAACUGCUUUCAGUAGGCGAUUACCACGUAUUUUUAUUUGUGUCUUUCUAUGUCAGUGAUGCCUGUUGAUAUAAAACGUACUCUCUCACAGUAAGUUCAAAGACAACCACCUACCUUCUAAUUUUGUGAUAUGCAACAUUUACUGCUAAUCUUCCCCAUAGCUUUUCCUUUGUAGUUGUCUUCUGUAUGAAACUGUAUUUAUUGGAAUUUGAGAAGACCGUGAUCCUCAACUGACUUCAAUGAAACCAUCAUGUGCAUCAAAAUAAGCUUAAAAGAUUUCAGUGCAACCCUCCUGUACUCUGAAUAGAUCAUUCUUAUGCUCUAAGAGUGAAUUACUUUGCCCUGUUAACUUUAAGAAAGUAAUUCUAAGUAACCAAGAUCCUGAUAACAGUUUACUGGAAGUCUUACCAGAUGUCCUGGUUUUGUUUAAAGCCUUAAACCUUGACACCAGAAUAGAGGAUUUCAUGAUUCAUGGCAAGUACUCGUGAAUUUCUGUACUACUGCUUGGAAACUGCAAUUUGUGCUCCCCAAACAGAUCUGCUGGGAUCCUUUUAGCAACCUCGAGCUCUCACCUGCUUCCAUGUCAAGCAUGACAGCAGCAGUUCAGCAGCAUGGAGGACCAGGGAAUCUCAAGCAUUUUGUGGCCACAGGGUAAGGUGUGGAGGUGAGUGUGGCACUUUGUACUUGAAAUGCUAGUUUGAAUUUCUUUUAGAUUCAUCAAAGCAGUAUGGAAAGAUGUAAGGAAAAAAAGGAGGGGCUUUAUUUAGUUUUGUUUUGCUCAUCUGAGUGUAGAAUUAGGCAGUGUGACACACAAUGUUGUUUCAGCUUAAAACAAGAAGUAACUUUUAGUGAUGCAAGUAGCUCACAUCAUGGAAAUCCUUUCAGGAUUGAGACAGCUAAUAAGGUGGCAAAAUCUCACAAUAGAUUGGAAUAUUAGGUUCAUGCUUGAUUAGCAGACGUUAAAGUCCCAAUCCGCUUCGUAAAGAUUACUUACAGUUUUGGAACAAAUUCAAUAGAAUUUAAUAUAGAACGGUAGUUUUUCUGCAGGUGCUUUGACCUGCCUGAUAUAAUUUUUUUUUAGUGAUUCACUCCAGCAUUUUGAAACAUAGGGAAAAUACAGUUAGGUCACCCAAUGAUGGUAAUUUUGCUUUUAAUGUAAAACUGUACUGUGAAAAAGAAUACUAAGGCAUCUCUGAAAGACAAUUUAAUGUGAUGUGGGAUCCAGGACUCUGGAAAUAUUUAAUUAAGCUGACAUUAAAAUUGUGUGGUGACAUUAUGGGGCAGAGCUAGAGAACCUAAAUAACCUAACCUGUGAGAAAAAUGUUGAGUGCAUCUUCUUCAUCCUGUGUUAAUCAACAGGAUCUUUGCAUCAUCGUAGAACGAAACUGCAAAUUCAUGAACACAUUUUGAUUAAUCCUAAUUUGAACUAUUUUGGGAUGAAGGUAAAAUGCUGUUAGUUUGUUUAGGUUGUGAACAGUUCCUGGGGAAUGUAAGAAGAAAAUUGUCCUAAUACCUAUAUAACAUUUUUUUCUUUAAUUAUUUGAAGAUUUAUUCUUAAUCAGCAAUAGUAGUUUGAAACCAUCUUUUUCUCAAAAUUAAAGUUUUUCCCCCUCUUCUCCCCCUUUUCCCCCCCUCUUCCCCCUUCCCCCCCCUCUUCUCCCCCUUCCCCUCUCUUCCCUCCCUUCUUCCCCCCCUCUUCCCCCCCAUCUUCCUCUCUCAUUCCUUUUCUCCUUUCAUCUUCAUAACACAGAAUUCCCCCAGCUGUACAAAAUGAGCCCACAGUUGCUCUUGGUACUGCAAUAGGUGCCUGGGGGAGGUGGACUGGCCUUCUCUUAAGUUCUCUGGAGGCCCUGACUGAAAGGCUGUCAUUGGGGACUGGGAAUGGCCAAGACUGUGUUUGCCACUGAGGAGGCUGCUGCUCCCAGCUCUCAUCAGGCUGUUCUUGAACCAUUAUGACUUACAGAUUAUCAUUAUAAAGGAAUCUGAAAUAGAGAUGUGAUCAACAUGUGGAAAAUCUUAGAGCUUCAAAUGUCUUUGCAUUUGUUAUAAGCAUGUUGAGAAUUUAAAAAAUACAGAAGCUCCACAGGUCUAAUAUAUUGCACUGCAAUAAGAAGCAUUCUAAAAACAAUGACAAAUAUGUCUCUUCUUCCUCUAACAGUCUGUCCUAAAAUAGAUAUAAGUGUUCCAGCAUGCAGAAAGUGAAGGAUGGCAUAUAAACAAUUGCUUGUUUACUUUUCCCACACUCAGGAACUAGAGUAAAUGCAGCUCAAAGAAUCUGCAGAAAUACUUUCCAAUUGGAGCAGCAGGAGUUGGGAAACAAAGCUGUGGCUGUAUCAUCAUGUUCACGUAGAAUCAAUGUGGUUUUCCUUCAAAAUAUGUCAAUACUAUAGUCAAAUAGCAAGGUACUUAAGAAAUCAUAGCAAAUGAAGAAAGCUGCUUUCAGAAUCUGCUGAAUAAGAGGUGGGGUUGAUAGCCCCUGGGCCGUUGCUCAUUUAUCCUUGUGGCUGCCCUCAAGAGCAGGCAAAUAUUACUUUAUCUGAAGGGCAGAGGAUAAAGAGGAUUGUCUGGUGACACAAAAGGAACCAGUGUUGGAGCCAGGAGAUCCCUGCAGUGCCUUGUUCUAUGGAAAGGUCACUAGACCAUGUGGCUCUGUGUUUCUGUUUAAGCUUUGUCAGCUCUGCUUUUAGUACCUUUACAAACAGGUGUAGUGGUGUCACUUUAUACUAUUUAUUGCUAUUCUGUUUGAAAUAGAGGAGUAUUUCAGAGAAAAGCCUCCAGAUGGUUUCAUCCAUAAACAUAAAGGCAGUAUAUAAUAUUAUUCCAUCAGGCUUUUUGGGUAAUGUAGGAUCAGAGCUAGUUGACAUAAUCUUUGGCCUUUCUUGUAGCCUGGGUUGGUUCUUCAGGAGCUUCAAGAUCAUUUAGUCUGUGGUUUGGGGAAGAACCCAGUUCUAGAUCCCUUGCAGCUGCUUCAUCAGCCUAUCCUAUCAGGUUCACCAUCUCAGUGAUACCAUGUUUAUGUUAUACAAUGCACAUGCCCUACGUGCACCUACAAGCCUGCUUUAUCUCAGACUGCUGCAAAAGUAGAUUUUGCUGUUCUCUGCUGCAGGAAGGACUUCCCUGACACUCAGGGAGGUGUGAUAACUACUCUAUCUUGUUCCACCCUUGUGUUGUGGGCUAGCAAGUCCCAGGGAUCAGGCUCUCAGCACAUAGCUUUGAUGUGCUGGUUCCAAGUUCUUUUACAUCUCAUUUUUCUUUUGCAGUGUUUCAGUUCCUUGUGUGCAUUACUACACUGCCUGAUCCAUUAUUGAUUUUUUUUUCAUUGUUUUUUAAUACAAAUUUGAGUUACUAGGUAAUUCUGGCUCCUUUAGCUGUGUUUCCUGGCUGUGGCUUAUGCUGCUUUAUAACCCUACCUUUGUUUCUCUGAAUCUCUUGUUUGGGAGAAGGAUCAGAAAAAAUACCCAUGUUUUCUUAAUUCAUUCAGGAUGCAGAAACUUCUUACCUUGUCAUGCCCUAGACACUGUGUGUAAAUAGGAGUUGCAGUGCAGAUUUUGUUUUCUUUGUUUCAAUACAGAGAGCAAAUCUCUCAGAAUAAACAGAUUUACAACAUCUGUGCUUUUCCCUUACAUUUUUGUUUCUUUUUCCCAAGUAAGUGGAAAUCUUAGCUUCAGGAAGAAGCAAGGUGAAAGUAUUCUGUAGAUAAGAUGUUUUAUGUGGCUCCAGGACAGAGACGUUUCGUAUUUGCUUGUCUCUGAUUGAAAACAGUACCUGGAGAUGGCUCUUUGUUUAUAUAGAGUGUUUGGGUGUGAGGGGCAAAGCAGGCAGAUUUACAUUUACAUUUUUUUACUUCUUUUUUCUCCAGCUCCCACACAUGAGCAAUCACCCUGAGGCCAAGGGUGGAGGCGAGAUGUGUAUGUUGCUACUUAUUUCACCAUAAACUUUGCUCUGAGUACCAGGACUUCUCAAGGGAAGGCAAACCCUGCUUUACCGUCAUUGGGGGUAUGAAUUACUCCCUUGCAUAAUCAAUACCAUGGUUAAGGUGCUUGGAGAGAGAGGCAAAAUCAUAUACUUGGGCUGUGUCAUUCAAGAGUGAGCUGGGUGCAGGAGGACACAUUCAAAGGUUCAGAAAAUCUGUGUGAGAGGGAGGCCAAACUGACACCCUGCAGUCUCCUAGCCCCAAGGCAAAUACAUUUGGUAUCAUGGAAAAGUUGCUCAAGCUCUCACAGCCCAGACACCAGGUGCCAGAGACAGUUCCUGACCUGUGAAGCUUUCAAAGGAGGUGCGUGAUGCAGACAUGGGAAGGUACGUGUAGCACCUCUCUGUUUUAUAUGUGAGGUUUUUGAGUGACAGGCUUGCCAAAGGUUGUGUGAAGAAUCUGUGCAGAGCCAGGAAUUUAUUACCCCUUGCCCAAAUCUCAGGCUGCUGCCAGAUGCAGGCAGGUAGUUUGCUGAAUACUCCAGCCUGACUCCUGGAAAGAACUCUUGUACUCCCAGUGAAACCAGUAAGUUUCCCAGAUUACAUUUAUUUUUAAACUGCACAGGCAGGGAUUACAUGUUUUGAAAAACUCCUGCCGGAGUCUUGAGAGCUUUGUGUAUUCUUAGCUCCUGAAACAUCAUCAUGCCUAACUGCUCGUUAAAGCUGCUGCCUAGCAGAAUCCCUCAGCCCUCCCAUGGGCUCCCAGGCAGUGCCUGAGAGAGUGCAAGGUGCUUUUCUCAGUCUAGCCUUGCCCUUUUUUUGGUUUAAAUCACUAGUGAAGAUAGAGUUUACAGAGGGAAAAAAAUUCAGGGUGAAUUGCACUCACAAAAUAAACAAACUGCAUUUGAAAUGUAGGAUUUUAAACCCAAAUGUCUUUGUUUAAUUUUAUCAAAGCUAAUUUGUCCAGCCUGAGUGCAGCAUGGGUUGAACUUCAAACAUCACACUGUUAACUGCAAGUUGACAUCAGUAUCUAUCUACACAGGACAACUAUGAUGCGGUAUCAUAGUUGGCUUCAAGGAUAGGUCUUGCCUUGGGCAGAGUGGAGGCCAUUCUCAACAUAGUUUUAUAACAGUCGAUAAAAUCUUUCUCAGUCUUAUGUAUGUAUGCAGUGCAGGUGGCGGGCAUUAAGCUUGGUACCACAAUGCAGUGGAGCAGGAAGUAAUCCCAUAUUGUGGGGCUUCCCGGGGUAUCCCCAAGGUCACAGCAAUAAGCAGGCAGUAACGAGUAAAAAGGAGGACACAAGAAAAUGUCAGGACCUGUCACCCUGGCUUUCCUGGAAUCUUGUUUAUGAGGUGAGGGGGGAUAACUGCAUGCUUCAGCCCUCCUUCUUGCUGUGAAGUUGAAUAAAGCAUAUUUUGUUGAGAUUCCUAACAGAUAAAUACAUGAGCAUGUGCUUGCCAAAAGGGUCUUUCUCUCUUUCUUACCCUAGGUCAUGCAUUUCUGCCCUCUUGUGUCACAGCAGCAGCCUUGCUCCUUCAUUUUCCUGAAAACUGGUUUGGUUUUGUCUUUUUUUUAAUAGGGUUAGUUUUCAAGCAGGUAAGUAGGCUGGUUUGGCCCCCUAAAACUCCAUUCCCAAACUGUGGGAGUGAUGGAGCCAACAAAAGGAAGGGGGUGGCAGUUGUAAGGCAGGCCCACCUCUUUUGGCAGCAGCCUGGUUUUAGCUUUGAGUUAAAGUGAUUGUGAAAGUAAAUGCAAAGCAGUCUUUUCUGUUUGGGAUGAAUGAGAGCCUUCCAGGUGUAAGCAGAGGGAAUUAAUUACAGCAUUUGCACAGCCCAGUUCUCCUGGAGUCUCACACAUGGCUGGCUCACAUGGCACCUCUUGGCAUUAGAGGGUCAUGGCAUCACCAGCAGCUCUGGCAUCAUCUAUUUCUUGUACCUUUCAGCUUCCUCCAGUGGCUGGAGUGGUGGUGACUUUCUGCAAGCACAAGACAAUCCACAGCAUCAGCAUUGCUGUAGGCCCAGUGAAUUCAUAGAAGUGUAUGGAUGAGUGCAGCUAUCUGAUCAAGAAGAUGGCAGGGAGGGGACAGGGAGAACAAGGAUAUCUGAAAAUCUUCAAUGUAAACAAGGCCGAUUAUACACACACCAAUUACCUCAGUGUAAACAACCAAUCGCACUAUAAUGGGGAGAACCUUUUGAGCCUGAGGAGGUUGCUUUGAAGUGCCUCUGCCCAGAGAUUGCCUGUUAAUGCAGAGAAUUACACCACUAGCAUCUGUUGGUUCCAGUGAGUAGAGUUUGGUGGCAAUGACAAUGGAACUGGGUGGAUUGGGAGUUGAAUGCAGAGAUAUGACAAUACAGUAGUUAAAAUUUCAAUAGCAAUAAGGGUGUAGCCAUUGGCAACCUGGCUGUAGGCUUGCCUGUAUCAGCCAACGCAUAUGAGUGAAGGCAGUGUGAAGGAAUUGGGAAUUUUUGUUACAUAUGUGUGUAGUCAUUGCCUUUGUGUCCAGGAAAUUGCUUGACCUGCACUUUACUGACGCAUCACUUUCCUGGGAUGUCUUAAGCCUCCUCUGGCUUUAGGCCUUUCUAAGCCCCAAUUGUCAUUUUCUCCUUUGAAGCACUACACUGCUCGUUCAGAAGGCCUGAUUCUAUAGUGGGUGGAGUCCACUGAGAAUCUCUCUAAUUUUGUGAGCUGCUGAUGAGGCCCUACAGGGUAAAAUUCAGUCUGUUUGCAGGUGAAUGCUGCUACCUGCAUGAUGCUGAGGGCUGCAGCAAGUUCCUCAGCCCUGGUCUCUGGUUUUAGACUAGGACUCAAACACAAGGAUUUCUUCACAGGCUCUUCUCCCCAUACCACAUGCCUGCUUCUCUCCUGAAGUUCCCUUAACAUUCAUGGUGUACAGCCCCUCUUCGGUCUGAUCACCAUGCUGGUUUUGCCCUUCUGUGUUCAGCAGACUUGCAUCAUCUACCUCUAGACAUGACACAUCAGUGCAAUAGGGGCAGACAUUUCUGUAUGUAGAAGUGCAUUCCAGUUUUGUAGCACUACCUACAUGAUUCCUUAAAUUUUCUGUGAAAGAAUACAAGUAAGUCAUACCCAGGUUAACAUAAAUGUCUUAACUCUCAGCUGAGAGAGGAUUAUGUGAAUUUAGGCUAGUAGCUGCCAAAUAAUAGACACACAGAUACUCUUAAAUUGGUUUGAUUUAUGUCUGCUGGCCCUGACAAUUGGAAGAAAAGAUAAAUACACACAAAGCUUUCAAAGCUUGGUGUGUUAUGAUGCUAAUUGAAAAGUCACCAAAGGAAGCCUGCAUGGUGUGUGGGAAUCUUAGUGCAUGAGAUUAGUGGCUAAUUAGUGGCUGGGAGCUGGAGUGCACUCCUCCCAGCUAUCUCACACUGAGAAUAGGCAGUUUGGCCCACGCAAUCAAUUCUUGCCCGAUACCAGCCCUAUUGCAGACAGCAGAUUGUGAUGAUGGGAAGAUACAGUGUCAGUGCUGUGUCAGGCUCUCCUAAACCUGCACAGAAAGUGUCAAAGAUACUGCUGUCUGGGUGGCUUGCUGUGUCCUGAGCCACAGCAAAGAUACAGGCAUUUGAGAACUGAGCUCUUUUUUCUUUUUAACAAAUGCAUAAAUCUUGUUUUCUUACUUUCUGCCUCUUUCAUGCCAUAUUUGCAGCAGAUGAUACAACACACUCUGGAGGCCCUGAGCUUCAAACCCUGCUUUAGAUUCUGAAGUGAAUGCAUACAGGUGGUGGCACCUUCAUCUUGGCAUUAUGUGUUAGAAUCAUGACAUUUGAAAAAUAGAGCUUUCAGCUGUCAGUGUCCUUGUAUUUCCCUCUCAAGCAUUUCCCUGGUGUACAAAUGAAGUAAAAGAAUCAGAGAUUUAAGUAAUACACUUAUCUCAUAUGAGUCUAAGAGGUUGGCCUUUACAAAAAGAGAGACAUGCAUAAUUGUAGGAAUUGGUGUCACUGAUGCAUCACUGAUACCACUGAACUAAUCAGGGCUUUGAUUGCUUAGGCACACAUCUAUUUUUCUCAAUUGUUUUGCAGUUUUUUUGAGAAUCCCUUGUUUAUUACUUAAUUUAAGAAGGUUGUUUGUAACUCUGGAGAGUUACAUGUUUUCUUCUUUUCCCACAUUUGCUUUUCCAAAUCUGAAACAAGUGUAAACACAGCUUUAAACUAUUGCACACUCUCAAUUAAACUAACUAGUAUUAAACCUCACACAGACAUUGAGGAGACAUACCAGGAUGGUUCACUUCUGAACACCACAGAAGCUAGAAAAUUUUCUUUCCAUGUCUCCAGCUCUCUGCGUAAUGCAGUUUUGCUCAAGCUGGAGUCAGAAGUGGGAUAACGUAAGAAGCCCAUUAUCACAGGCAAGUGGCCUCAGACUGUGUGAGCUGGUUGUAGAGUCAGCUUUUCUGGAGAUCAGUACAUAGGCGCUUCUAGUCCAGUUCCCUUAGCCUUCAGUCAAUAAACCUUCUUCUCCAGCUAUUGAGAAGAAGUUAAGUCGUCUAUGAUCUCAGUAAGGGCUAAUUAAAAAGAGGACAUCCUUCGUAUAGUAGCCAAGCUGUUGUAAAAGUGAUGCUAUGGGGAGAGGCAAGGUUUGCUGGCAGAGCUAAUAUCUUGUUUGAUCGCAUAGGUAGUUGGGAAAAGUUAACAGACUUUCAGACAUAGAAGUUCUUCUACAGGUCUGAAAGAAAAAACUCAAACUUUGAGCUAUUCUGGUCCAUUCUCAAAAAUCCUGUAGAGAGGACAGAUACAACAGCCCCAGACAGUCAGCUCUACCAUGGAUAAAGCCAGCUUGCAGGGCAGCCCUGAGAGCCCAGGUGCUUCAGGAAUCUUAAUAGCCUGUGUGGAGCGACAAAUUCCUGAAAUCUUGCUCUUUGUUCAGUAAAUGUUUGUUAAAACAGGAAUGAGAGAUACGGGAAAAAUCAGCAUUUUCUGGCCAAAUUAUUUCCAGAUGGUUCUAGGUGGGUAUUAGUAAUGCAGCUGUCAGUUUUCACAUGACGUUUUUUAAAUGGACACCCCUUUAUUAGUCAUCUUUUAUGAUAUCUUUCCUUUUAUCUUAAACAAAAUACCUGUGGGUACUGUUAUUGAUGGUUUCAGAUACUACUGAACAGUAACAUCAAGAUACUCAAUGGAAGCAGAUCAGUGUGGUGACUGACGCAGCAUGGGAAUUCAGUGACUGUGCUACAAGCUGAAAAACACUCCAUGCUGGAGGCUGGCAAGGAGCUAGGAGCAGAUAAGACAUCUGUUUAAUCUCAUUGUGAGGUGAAAGGGGGCAAAAAUCCCAAAUCAAGUAUACUCAGCUGAAUUGAGCUUGUGUAGGGACCGCUGCUUGAUUCAACAGCUUUUGAGAGGAAACGUAAGAGGACUCUGGACUGGUGGGCAGGUUGCCUCUGCCAAGAUGCUGCCUCCUCUUGGGAGCCACAAGAGAAAACAUUUGUUCCUGGGCAUAUUGAAGCAGCUCCUUCUCCUUCCCUCCUGCUCCCUGGCAAGCUUGGGGCAUCUCUUGCUGCCAGGUGGGAGACAGCAGGGCCAACACCAACUGCUUCUUCAUGGCAUCCAUUUAAAGUCAAGGCUUGAUAAUGGUUGUUGGUCCAUGGGCUCCUCUUCACUUGGGGUAAUGGCCUUGUCACAUGGGCAUCUCAGACAAUGCAGAUGGGUGUCAGAAGGCCACAAGCAGUCCAGCCAUCUCCCCUGAGUGCAGAGGAGGCUCUGGGAGAGGGAGUCAUCCACAUAAUGAUCUCCACAUGCCGUGUCUGAUCAGUGUGUCUGAUCAGUUCCUGUAUUGUAGAGGAGCUGUGUGGGCUUCUGGUAGGCUGUGUGUAAGAGGAGAAGGCAGGAGGAGGGCUCUUCUGUAUUUGUUCCACCUAUAACAAAACUCAGCCAACUGUCCCACCACCUACCACUUGUGCUUCUCAACAGGCUGGGCGGCAGGCAGUUCUGGAAAGGCCUGGGAACCCGCUGGAGAAAGUUAGUUCUUUCAUCUCCUUGCAGGACAUCAUUUCUCUUUUAAUGUUUUCUGCGCAGUAAAGAAAAAGGGUGAAGGAGCUGAAGAGGAAGAGCUGCAGAGGAGUUUCCAAUUCCUGUAGGAAUCUAUGCAUGGCACGUUGUGCCUGUAGGAGCCCAAAGCUGUGCUCAGCUCCAUGAAACCUGGUAGCUCAGCUGUAAAACCCAGGAUUUCUUCUGGUUUCUGAGCCAAUCUCUCAGCAUUUAGAGAAGGUACUGUGCUGAGCUGAAGUUCUGCAAGCAUAUUUGAUUUCACAUCAACUAAAACCCCCUAAAAAUCAGAUUAAAGUACUAGCUUCUUCCAAAGAAAAGCACCACACCUCAGUCUGGAGCUUAAGUUAAAACCAAAAAUGUGUUUUCAAAUAAUGUAUAAAAUUUAAAUGCUUCUUCAAAUAAAGUAUAACAGACAGUUUGCUUUGCAAAUGGUCUCUCUAACAGCUGCUUUCUCCAAGUAACCUUAAAAAUAAAAAAAAAUCACCUAUUAAAAUAAUUUAAAAUCAUCUAUUCCAAAAUAAAAGUCAAUGUCUAAGAUGACAUCUGCGAGAUCUACAGAAGCCUAGUUUAACUGGGGUAAAGCUAAGGUGAGCGACAGGUCAAAAUCAAGCUUAACAUGGAGGCCAUCUGCAACCUUUGUGGAGAAAGAUUACCAUCUUGUUGGGGAGAUCAUGUUUCUGUUAUUAUCAAUAACAGUCUGGUUUAUACUAUUUAUUCUCCCCUCUUAGGUUAUCUUCUCUGACAGCUGGGAGACUUGACACAAUGCCUAGGUUGAAGCUAUGAUGAAACUGAAUCAUGUUAUUGAAUCCUAAGUGUCAUACGAUUGUAUCACGUGCUGUGGGAAUGUAUAGGUACCACAGUCCUCGUCCCAAAGCACUUACAGUCCAAGCCAGAUAGCAGCUCUCCAGGGCCUUCCAAGCCUUCUUCACUGUGGCUUCUCUAGUAGCUAUCGUGACACUUCCUGCUCAACAAGUGCAAAAGUCCAUGGGAGUUCUAAAGUAUUUGUCAGCAAGAUUUGGAGUCCUGCCCCCAGGAAUGGUGGGGAGACUGCUCUUGGUUCUGGACCAUGCCAGCGUAAGCUCGCCGGCAAACGGCGCUAGAUGGAAGCCAUGGGAGAAAUGCUUCCUUCUGCUAGAACACUUGGUGGUUCUCAUAAAACAACAGGAAGCUCCCUGAAAUACUUUGUGGUAGCAAAAGGCCACUGCUGAAGGGAUGGGAAGGAGCCCAUACAGUGGAAGGUAUGCAUGUCUUCCUUCUACAACUUUUCUAUUAUCAGUAGAGAAAAAAGAAAUAGCAGAUGUAUAUCUGAUGUGUUUACAUGAAAACUGCGGUAUUUACUGAUGCUUUUAAGGUCACAUUUUACUCCAGUCAAGCAUUGAAAAAAUCAGAGAAUAUCUUGCAGUUAGUUAGCUAAACACCUUUUUCUGCCUUUGGAUUGGGUAAGGCAGAUAGUCACAAUAAACUUUAUCUGGAGGACAGUUCAAGGAAUUGGCGAGAGAGUCCAAAAUCCACUAACUCAAGGUCACGGAUCCACUCAAGGAGUCCAGGCUGGCUGGGCCGUGACCAUAAAUCAUAUUUGACACUGACUUGGUGACCCAUGUAAAAUGUGUGAGUCGGCACACAGCUUCCAUGGGAGAAGCAUCAACUGCCAGCAACAGAUACAGGAACUGCUGCUUCUGUGAAGAGGCCCAGACUCCACUGCGCAUGGAAAGACAAUUUUCCACCUAAUCACUAGGAGUUCUUGUCAAAGCAUGUGUAGACAUAGGAGUGUGGCCUAAUCUUUCACCUAAGCCCAUCUGGAUGGAGCUAUAAAUCCAAGAAAUUGCAGCCCGCAAACACAAGCAGGACACGCUCCAGAUGCUCCUGCCCAUCACACCAAGCACUAGCAGGGGACAUCAUGUUGUGGAACUUCCUCUUGGGAGCCUCACAACUUUCUGGAACCACUGUGGGCACCAUCACUAUGGUAUCCAAAUAUGUCCCAGUGACACAGUGAGACGGGGAAUUUUAGAAACGUGAAACUGAGAGACAGCAAAAGUGUAUUGCCUAAGGUUUUCUGGCCAUCAAUGGUUCAGUAAAAAAAAAAGGUCUCUUGAAUAGAAGUUCCAUGUCUUAUGUGCUGAAACACCUUUCCUAGGGAACAUGCUCUCAGGCUGAGUAAUUGAAACUCCCCACUUGCUCGUUUGGGUGUGAAGAAAUUAUAUGUAUGGCAAAGUUGUUCCCACAGUCAGCUCGCAGGUGUAUGGCCUCGGUUCAUGUAGUCCUUUAGAAUGGAAAGCCUGAAGCCAGAUUGCACUGUUACAUCCCUGUUAUGUUCCAGUUCUGUCCACAACACAUAAAACCAAUGUGAACUAGAGCAAAGUUUAUUGGGAGUCUCUAACACAAAAAUAGAAGCCUCCUACACUAAACAAAGCAAGUGCUGUGCAUGCACUAAGGCAUGUGUGAGGGAGACUGCUUGUAAAUAUUCUCUGUAGUCUGCGUAGGAGUUGUGCGGAGACAGCCUGAAGACCGCCAGCAGCAGAAAAAGGAGAUAAAUGGGCAUUUAUUCAGCUGAGCAUCUGGGGAGAAGGGUUAUAAUAUGCGCUAGGACAAACUCAGGAUUGAAGCUAUCAAACUACGCCCUGGCAAACUGAAAUAAUAAAGGCCUGAGCUUGGCAUUGCUGCCUUGUACAGCUCUGUCCCAUGAGGCGGGUUUCACAAAGGUGAGAAAGUGUCUCUCAUCAUAUCUUUUUUCUCUUCACUUGGCAGUUUUCUGUGUUUCUUAGCUAAAAUCUCAGAGAAAGGAGUCACAAAUCUGUGUGUAACAAACUUCCACGAGCUGCAAAUACCCUUCCCAGCCAAGAGACCCCAGGAAGUCUUGGAAAAAUAAUUAAGCUACGUAAACAAUAUUCUUGACUUUCUCCUAAACUGGUUGAUCCCAACCCUGGCCCUGCAGCUGCUCCCUGGGCACAGGUGGGCUCUGCUGCCUGCGCCCACCCAGAGCUUCCUGAUUUCAGUAAUUUCAGGACAAGAGGUGCUGGAGGCACCUCCUCAUCAGGGGCUGCUCCUCGCUGCCUCCCCCACGGCCCCCGACAGCCCCGCCAGCCGCUGCCUCUUCGGCAGGAAAUUCUUCCGUGCUGCCUCAGGCAGGUUCAUUCUGCUUCCCUACUUAUCUGGGGUUUAUAUUUUCAGCCAAAAAAAGUUAAAGCAUAACCAAGAAAGAUAGGACAAUUGUGGGGGGGGAAGUUAGUUACCUGCAUUUUCCCAAAAUGUGGUAAAUGCAAGCAAUUUUUUAAUGUGACUUAUGGAAAUACAACUUCAUCCCUUGCUUCUUUUUCCAUCCCACCAAUACCAGACCCUGCAGUCUCCAGUGCUUUCCCAGAGCCAGAAAACAUGUGUUUUUCUCUAGGCUUUUUGAAAAAUUGUUCAAUAAUUCAAUUUAACAAUUUUCUUUUAAAAAAAUCAUACAAAAGCCAACAUCUAGGAUAAAACAUUUCAGAUUAAAAGCCAUAUGUUUGAUAAGGGAUGACUAACCAAAAAUAGCAUUAUUAAGGAGAAAUUUCAGGCAUCUCUAGACCUUUGUCACCAAAGGAUUUUGUGACCAAUACAAGGCCCAUCUCUCUUAGAACAAGGAUUGAAUAUACAUAAGCAAACAGUUUAAAUCCACUACAUUUAUUUUGUUAAUUGUAGAAGUUUUAUCGCUUCAGGAGACCUGAAAGUUCACAAAUAUUAAUUCUGAACUCAUCUCACCAAGUGUCUUCAGUUACAUUUCACCUUUGUUACUGCACAGCAUGGAAAAGUUGUGGAUGCUCCAACCCUGGAAGUAUCCAUGGCCAGGCUGGAUGGGGCUUUGAGCAGCCUGGUCUAGUGGAAGGUGUCCCUGACCAUGCAAAAAUAGUGUGUCUACAUUGGAACCUCAACACCCUUGCACUCAUUUUGGAUGCCUAUACAUAUAAAUACCUGUGCAUGCAUAUGAAUGUACACAAAGAUACAUGCACACACUGGCCAAAAUGGGACUUCAGAAGCACCAGUGUGAACGUGUGCAAGAAUUGGCAUGGAAAAAUACACGGCAUGUUCUUCUUUCUAUUUUUUCAAACAUCAGUUUUUCUGCUAGUACGGUAUCCCAGUGUCUACUGGGCCAUUGUCAGCCCUGCACAUGGACACACGUAUACAUGUAUAUGUACCCAGGAAACAGCACUGGCUGAAGACUGGGCAGGAUUUAUGAAUCAGUGGCCACGUGGCUCCUCCAGUGACACUGAAGCAGGACAUGCAUCCUUUCCUCCUUGCUGUUGUGAUACUCCCAGGGACUUGGGUGUUUCAGGAAGGGAGGAUAUUUCUCAAAUUUACUCAAGGGCAGUUGUGAGCUUUGACUGAUUGCUUGAAACAUCGCAUCUUCCAAACAUGCCCAACUGGAAAUAACAGCAGCUCAUGAAGAACUAGAGGAUGUAUGGCUGGAUGUAUGGCUCUGCCCUGAGCCCUAGCGUCACUUAUCUACAAACUCUCAUAAACAAAUCAAGCUCAAUUUAAAACAUCUUAGAUUGAUAACCCUAUACUCCUGUUAGGAAGCAGUCCUAUGGGGCUCUACGCCUGCUCAGCUGCUGUCUUGAUUUUUCCGUGGUCAGCUCUGUCCUUUACCUUUGGUCUUGCCUCAUUUCUGUCCAGCCUGUGAAAUGCUCGAACCCUUUGAUGGGCAGCAGUCACAUCCCCCUUCCCCUCGUCCUGCUAGCUGAAACAAGACUGACACUUAAGUCUCCUCUUAUAACAUAGGCUUUUCUACCCUCUGCUCAUUUUUAUGCCCUUCUCCACAACUCCAACAAAUCCCCUCUGAAUGCAGGUGAAUGCAGCUUUCUGGACGACACACAAAAGAGCCCUGUACCAGGGCAUGAAGCCUGCCCUCGCUCUGCUGGUCAGUCUUUCCUUUAAUACACAAUAAAACUUGCACUUCCCAGACAUUAGUGGCUCAUAGUCAUGUUGUGACUGAUCAAUGCAGUGUGAUGCAACUUGUGCACCAGAUCCCCCCACCAGCACACUCCCAGACCUCUUCUCCCCACAGCAAAUGGCCAUUUCGGUAGCAAAUGGUGCCCAAGAACUGAACAUCUUCAACCAUACAACAGGCAGCUUAGAGUCCAGAACUAUUGUUCCAUCCCUGCGCAUGGAGAAGGAACUGGGAAAAUGCACUACGUUUUUGCAGUGCCUGGCUAGAGCUUCUGCCUCGUUAUUAGGGGGAGAAGGGGUAUCCCACAGAAACUGGGGAAAAGCAGUGCUCUUGUGGCAGCCUGUCCUCUGGCAAGUGUAUUUGUGCAAGGGCAGGCAUGGUGUGGUCAGCAAAGGCCUGAGCCACAGCUGUUACUGUCACAACCUAGGAAGCGUAGGGAAGGACAAAGUGUCCCAAGUCGUGGUUGCAGCUGAGCUUGAACUGCCUUGGACUAAUACACACAAAAAUCUUGCUCCAACCCUGCCUCUAUUUCCAGCUGAAGAGCAUCUAUCUAUUAAUAGCUGAUGGCAGAGCUUCUUGUUAGAAAUUCUCAAAUCAGGCCCUAUGCCCUGCACUAUUAUGGUUCAUGUCAUUUCCAUUACUGCCCUCCGCUGCUCACUGCUCAAACCAACGAGAAUUCUGUGGGUAGCAUCUCAUGUACCCCAUUACUGACAGUACCCAACACUGUAUCAUCAGUUAAUGUCACUGUCUCCUUUUGUCUUCUGGUGCCACAGCUGGGAAUGAAACAUUAAAUAAGGUCUAUUCUAAGUCUAGUCCUAGAGGAAUUACACUAAUAAUUGCUUCUGGCAUGUUUGUUCUUGUUCCAUCAUAACCCAUCAUGAUCUUCCUGUCUCUCAGUGCUUUAUCUUAAAAUUUGUGUUUCUCCACUAUAAGAAAUAAUUUCCUGGUGUUAUUUUGACCUCUUAGUGUAGAUUGACUACAUUUGCCUCGUCUGAAAAGGUCAGUUAUCUUACAGAAGAGAGGCACCAUAUUAAUUUGGCAUGAUCUACCUUGGGCAAAUUCAUGUUGUAUUUCAUCCCAUUGUCAGUUAUCUGUUGUCUCUUUCCUUCAGCAAGGUUUUUAUGUCCAGCUGAUCCACAUAUCCAAAGUGUGAGAAGGAAGGAAAAAAGAUAAAAGAGUUGAAUUCCCUUCUGUACUCUGCUGUGUGUCUGUGACACUGCAGCUGCUGCAGUCCAUGCAUGCAGCCUAAAACAGAAGGAACAGAACAAGGAGUAAAAUCAUGAGCUCUCCCAUGAAGCUCUCCCAUGGAGCAUGGACGGUACAUCCUUCCUGAUAGAACCUGUUGCCUCAUGAAACUCAGAGCCUGAGGGGCUUAGUCAAAUAUCUUAGAGAUGAAACGCUUGCAAUUAUUAAAAGACAAUUAAAAGGAUUAUCUUUCCUCAUACUCCAUAAACUGUUCCCUAGCUGGGCUAGGAGGACAUGAACUCCGCAGUUGAAGAGCAAAACGUGCACAAUGUAAAUUUAACAACUUCCUCUGUACUGUUUGGCCACUGUCGCAGAGAAGACAUCACUGCAGACGAAGCACUGCUCUUCUGCACCACAGCCAUGGCUGCAUCUUCAUUACAACCUUCACGGUGCAUUUCCAUUGCAGAGACACACUGAUUCUGAGGAGCAUGGAGGUGUGCAGAUACCAUUUGCUUUCCACACAUUGCAUGUGGAAGUAGACAGCGUGAGAAAGUUCUUGUGUAAACACCAUGCCAGGCAGGAGUGUGCCUGAUGGCACAGGUGGUGGGUUCAGUCAGCGAGGAGGCUCUGUAUCAACUUGUUGAUGCUUAGGGAAAGGAUGGUGCCUAUUGAUUAGGGCACGUAGGCAGAUGAGCUGCAGACACGGAGCAGGGUUUCAGGGUCUGCAGCUCACUGGGAGCGGCUUCCUUGUGAGAAUGUGGCUGGCAGAUGCACAGAUGUGUGUGCAGCCAGCUCUGCAGAACACACAGCACCAGUGCAGCACGGAACGCAGCGGGGCCCCUGGCUCUGCCCCUCGGCACACAGCCACACGUUGGGCACCACAGGGAACUCCAGGAUGGCAGGCGCCAGUGGCUGGCACGCCACCAGCCUCCCCCAUGCUGGAGGAGCCUGGGGUUGGGUCCUUCAGUAAGGGGUGCUACCCAAACAGCCAAGGCCCGCAUGCCCCACAAGCUGGGUAGUGAUGCUGUAGAUAAUAAUCAUCUUUACCGAUGUUUCCACUGCCCAAACCGUGCAGAGAUACCUCUUGGAAUGCACUUGACCUGAGCCCCAGCCUGCUCUGGCCUUUUUGCCAAAGCCAGCCUGAAAGUCUUGUUCUGGCUGCCAGCCUGUUCCCCGUUCCAGCAGAAGCAGAGGGAGCAGGAGCUGCUGAAGUGGGGUGUGAGGAGGUCUCGGGACACAGCCUGAGAUCUUUUCUCUAGUGGACACAAGAUCAACCUGCAGAAUGGUGGCCUUGGACUCCUGUAUCAGGUGAGGAUUUUGGUGAGCUAAAGAUUCGGAUCUUUAACCUAACCUUCGGGCUUUGUUGCUCUGAAGCCAACUUGGCCCUUCUGGAACCGCAAGUUCGAGGCAGUAAGACCUUCACUGGAACAUGAUGAGUUGUCCUCCCCUCUUCCCACCCCCACGCCAGAUCUCCACCACAAUUCAGGAAGAUACUGCUAUAUUACAACAAUAAGAGGGCAGGCCAGCUGAUGGAGCAAGCAGCUCUCAUCAAGUGUUUAAUAGACUAAAAUAUGGAAAUUGUGGGUAUCAGUUUCUUCCCAAGUAGCAAGUGAUAGGAUGAGAGGAAACAGCCUCAAGUUGUGCCAGGGGAGCUUUAGAUUGGAUAUUGGGAAAAAUAGCACUGGAACAGGCUCCCCAGGGAAGUGGCUGAGUCACCAUCCUUGGAGGUGUUUAAAAGACAUGUAGAUGUGGUGUGUAUGGACAAGGUUUAGUGGUGGACUUGGCAGUGUUAGGUUGACAGUUGGACUCGAUGAUCUUACAGGUCUUUUCCAACCUAAAUGAUUCUGUGGUUCUAUAAGAGAGCUGGUGGCCAGCACAGUCUUCUAGCAACUGGACCAGAAAAGCAGAGGACUGGGAAGAGGAACAAGGGAGAAGACAGUUACUCUUUUGCCAAGCAUGUCCUACCCCACUCUCUUGUGCAGCCUCCAGGGACGUACAGCCUGUGCAGAGCUUUUUGGGCAGAGGGACGAUGUGUUGAGCACCACCACAAGCAUCUCCCCUUGCUGCCCAACACGGUCCUGCCAGCCUGUCCACCAGCCUGUACAUACUCAGCUCUCCCACCAGCUGCUGGCAUGGAGAUUUGGAGAAAAGGGACCUCCUGGCUGCUGGUGGAGCCGGGUCCCCUCAGGAAGCAGACCCCCAGGAAUGGUGCAUCCUUUCACCUCACAUGUUGUACGUUUCUUAGUCUCAAGCUACAUGUGUAUUCUGCAGAUGGCAACGUCCUUCCCCAGGGGUCUACAGUGGAACCCAACAUGCCUGGGAAAGGCAGUUUAAGCCUGAUGAGUUCUUCAAAACCACCCCACAUAUAUUUAUCCAGCUGCCAUUUCCUAAACUGGCGGGACUUUCUAUGAGUGCAAACCCUUCUAACAUUCAGUGAACAUCAACAAUAACAAAAACAAAUAAAGAAACCAAUUCUUACUUAAUCUUUCACGAGCUUGAAUUUUACAACUGACUGUCACAAAACAGAGUAGAAUCUUUGAGUGCUUUUGAUAUUGGAUAAUCCAUAAAACUUUUAUUUAGAAAGAAAACAUAAAACAUAUUGAGAAGAUAAUACUGUCCUCCCUGCUGUGAACUUAAUGUACUGGCUCCCUCAUAGCCAAGUGGUAAAGAAAUAUAACAGUGAUUUUGCCCAAGUACUAGUUUCUCUGUCGCACCUUGUUGAGUAGAGCCAAUACAUCACUCAUAGUGUUCUCUUCAGAUAAUGUCAAAUGACAACAAGGCAGAACAUGCAGAUUUCAAAUAAGGCAGGACAAUAAUGCUAGGAGAGCUUAUAAUAAAACAAUUGGCUCUGGGUUUCUUUAACAACAUUUAUCUUUAAACAACUGCACCGAAAUCCACCUCAGUUUAACAGCUUUUAAAUGAAAGGACACACAGUCCCAAAACUGUUGACAUUUUGACUAUGGCUUUUAGCAAAACAAUGUAAAAAUGCAUCCAUCUCUAUAAAGGUUCAACUAAAGUAUCUUGAGAGCUCCCUCACUUUGUUUCAAUUUGUUCUAGUCCCACAGCAACCAGGACUUAGUCACUCCGUAUAAACUAUGACUCCUUGGUGCAAGAUUUGUAAAAGGAACUUGCCUCAGAAGAUACUGCAUAUGGUAGCAAGGGACGGUACUGUUUUUCUCAACAUUUUCACAGCUUGGCAUUUCAGAGAAAAAAAGAGCUCAUUAAACAGCUAGUUAAUACACCAUGAAUGACCUUGCAAAUAAAAAAAAACAUAAGAAUAAAAUUCUCACAAAACUCAUAUUUACAUAUGUCAGCUUGGGUAGGUUGAAAAGGGGUGGAAAACAGUGUGGAGUCUCCAAACUCCCAAUCCAAAUGUCUCUGGCUUUGCCCAGGCAAGCUGUCAGGCUGCCUUCCUAGAUAAGAAAGGGUUUUAUGACCAGAUCUUACUUAGCGAGAAGGCCGGUGUCACGCGAUGGCCAUCCUGCAUGCCAGGGUCCAGCCUAUGACCUUCACUUCCGAAGGUGAUCCCCAGUCCACACUGACCACAGUUUCUCCCAGUACAGGAUUUCAUGACAUGAAAAAUGGAGUUCCACAUGUGGAAAAAAAAGCCCUCAGAGAAGAAAACACGGCUGUGGACUGGGGCCAAUUGGAUCACUCUGGCUUGCUCCCACUGUUUGAGUAAAGAACAUGCCCCUCCCAGAAUAUAUCCUGUCCCUGAGAAUUUAAUGCAGAUGAAAACUUCAGUGUGCUCUCAGCUGACAUAAAUUUGCAUAAUUUCAUGAAUCGAACCAGCUAGACCAGGAGUUGAUAGAAAACCUAAUCUCUGGUUGCUGAAAGCUACGCCUGGGAUACUACUUUCACUAGACUUUGUUGAAUGAACUAGCAUCCUUCUGCCUGACCACCAUUACAUAAACCAUAGAACAGUGUUUUCCCCUGGACAUGCUCUUCUGUCUGACCAAAAGGCCACAAAAGACAGAGCUGACAGGAGCCUCAGGAAAUCAGCUAGCCCAUUGUCUACCCUGAAGUGGGAUUAGCUGUAGAUUUCUUCCAUAUCUUUAGAUCCCACAGCCUGUGGAUAUUCCUAGGAGGUUUGUUAUUUAAUGACUGGGCAGUUUUAUCCACAGCAAGACAAAAAGCAGAGGGAAUCUGCACCCCUGCAGGUGCAGAGCUCAUUUAGAGGCAGCUCCUCACCAAGAUCCCACCAGGAUGUUGGAGUGGGACUGGGCUGGGAAGUAGCAAGGAGCCCAAACUGCCAACACGGGGAUCCACCAGCAGCGUAUUUUCACAUGUACAUAGGCAAGGGUAGCAAACAGGCUCUGGCCGCUGCCAUCAGUGAUGUUCUGGAAGCCUGGAAGUAGUAGAAGAUAUCCUGUGUGAUUAUUUGGGUUCAGCUGAUGUGCAUGAGUCAUGGACUCAACAGUUCUCUGAAGCUGUGGGCCCCAGUACCCUCUGCAUGGGAGUUUAAUGACUGCUCUCCAUUCUUGUGCCUGCUGUAAAUUGCUUGUUACUCCAGCUAUCACACAUCUGUCUCUUAGCUCUCUCCAGACCUUUUUUUUAAAUGUGGCAAUAUGUCCCUGGUGGAUUAAUUCAUUGAUUUAUCAAGCACAAGUAUACGACUGAGAUUUAUGAAAGUUCAUUUCUUCAAGUGAAACAGAAUUAAUGAAUGCAAAGAGUCCUCCAGGGAUACUGUUUCUUUGCAGAGAAAAUAAUCACCACUUUUCAUUUGUUCUACCAACGUUUUUACCUUAUGCUCAGCUGUGGUUUCCACACCUAAACCAAUGCAACGACACCAAACCAAGUAUCCUGACCACCCUUAUACACCCUGCAGUAACACACCCGUAGUUGAAAAAUAGAAUCCAGCACUGAUGAAAGAGAAACAGAGACAAAAAAGAAGUCCUUCUUGCCAUUAGAACCACCAACCAUUUGCUUAUUAAUUUAAGUUCAUCAAAUCACCCUCCAGUAAUUUCUAGCUUAAUUUAAUCUUGCUUGCCUUUUAACACCAAAUUAAAAAGACAGAUACCACAAUAAGCAUAAUAAAUCAACCAACUUGCAGCAGCAUCAAACACAUAAACACAUCCACAAACCUGAACAGGGAAUAACACCUGAUGGAAGUUCUCCAGAAGAUUAUGUUAUCUGUCAUUUCUGUUGGAACCUCCCUCUAACGUAAAUCAGGAGAGAGCAUGCAUAGACUUGGGCAUUGUCCCAAUAUACACAAGGGCACAACUCAUGACCAAAAUGUUUCAGAGUCAAAUCCUCCUGGAGCAUCCAGGUGGAGAUGGUAUUGUGUGCUCCUCACUGCUCUAAGGGCUUGAUAGAGAUACGUCGGUGGAAUUGCUGUCCUUCAGGAUUUCUUCAGGCCAAAGCUGGACACAGGCAGUAAUGUGCAGCCUACUAAGGCUCACUGACGACCUGCAUCUGCGUGUUUGGUUGAGCAUGUACAUGCUUGUGAGUGGAAGGGGGAGGCAAAAAAGUCAGAAAACAGCAUAAGAUCUCAAGACAUACAUUAAUUUUCCCAGCAAUUACACAAAGUCUACACUUUUAAUUAAAGUUAAAUUAAAUUAGCUCUAGACCUCUGACCCAUGGAAAGAGUCAACAGCUGCCUGAUGGGGUAAUAUCAGAGCAAACAGGGGUUUUCUAUUCUCCAAGGGGUCAGCUGUAAGCUGAAGAUCUCAGCUGAACCACCACUAUGUAUUACUUGUAAAGCAGCAUACUGCUCUCUCGGUGUUGUAGAAAUAUA
This is a long non-coding RNA of Columba livia (rock pigeon), 25097 nucleotides long. RefSeq lists it as uncharacterized. NCBI's taxonomy places the organism in Eukaryota, Metazoa, Chordata, Aves, Columbiformes, Columbidae. The record is from RefSeq and is a predicted model, not a curated record. The transcript is spliced from 4 exons.